CCGCCAUGUUACUUGGUGGCCACCAAUGAAGCAACAGAAGGCGACGUCAUCGCGCAGAGGGCUUAAAAGCGGAGCGCUCCUCCUUCUCUCCCGCAUUCGACCUGCAGCCCCGUUAUCAGCUCCUGGACUCCUGCCAGUUAAAGCAAAACUACAUUGAAGAUGUCGGACGAGGGGAAAUUGUUCAUCGGAGGACUGAGCUUUGAGACCAAUGAGGAGUCUCUAGCCGCGGCCUUUGGCAAAUAUGGAAACAUCGAAAAAGUUGAUGUCAUCAGAGACAAAGAGUCGGGGAAAUCUCGCGGUUUUGGCUUUGUGAAAUACGACAAUUGUGAAGAUGCUAAAGAUGCACUGGAAGGCAUGAACGGCAAGACCCUAGAUGGCCGGUCCAUUCGUGUGGAUGAAGCAGGGAAGGGUGGCCGAUCCAGAGGAGGGUUCAGCUCAGGCCCAAGAGGAGGACGGGGUGGAUUCGGCGGGCGUGGGAGAGGUGGACGAGGUUACUCCAGAGGAGGUGGCGGAUACAAUGGAGACCGGGGUUACGGUGACAGGAGUUACAGUGACCGAAGCUUCAAUAAUGAGGGCCGGUUUGGAGGUGGUGGUGGCGGUGGCAGCCAGUACAGGAGUAGUGGAGGUGGAUACUCAAGCUACAGAGACAACAGGGGUCAGGGUGGAUACGGUGACCGCUCUGGAUCCUACCGCGAUCACUACGACAGCUACAAUUGAAUGGGCUGACUGAGGCUUCAGUGGAUCUCAACAGCUGAGUAAAGUAUCCGGCUUCAAAUGACAGCGAUGGAUGCACAUCUAGUAUCGGGUCUAAGAGGCAGCAGCUGUGAGCAGUGGUUACGGUGGAGGAACCUGCCAGGAUCCCGCCAACUAAAAGUUCAAGCAAUUUGUGACUAUCAAAAUGUUAGCUUGUGUGCCACAUUUCCACGUAUGGCCUGCUAUUCAAAGUUCCGGGGGGGGACGAGGCAAGAUGGCAGGGCUACUACACCCUAGUCCCUGAACACUUUCAACAAUUACUUCUAUCUGAAUGGAAAGAAAU
RNA transcript from Etheostoma cragini (Arkansas darter), 1036 nucleotides. It is a transcript of the gene named cold inducible RNA binding protein a, with no coding region annotated. NCBI's taxonomy places the organism in Eukaryota, Metazoa, Chordata, Actinopteri, Perciformes, Percidae. The record is from RefSeq and is a predicted model, not a curated record. The transcript is spliced from 8 exons.